RNAcentral lists this ribosomal RNA (164 nucleotides) under uncultured bacterium. RNAcentral describes it as "partial 16S rRNA". It matches the Rfam family "Bacterial small subunit ribosomal RNA", at positions 355 to 511 of the family's 1533-position model. The record is from RNAcentral.
UAGGGAAUCUUCCACAAUGGGCGAAAGCCUGAUGGAGCAACGCCGCGUGUGUGAUGAAGGGUUUCGGCUCGUAAAACACUGUUGUAAGAGAAGAAUGACAUUGAGAGUAACUGUUCAAUGUGUGACGGUAUAUUACCAGAAAGGAACGGCUAAAUACGUGCCAG